CAAAGACCCAAUUCUCUCACUUCACUCUCAUCUCCCUCACCCUUCAUCAAACCCUAGCCGCCAAAAUCCCUCACCGGCGGCCAAGCUCCAAACGACUCCAAUUCUGCACCCCAUAAUCCCCGGCCCUUCCUUUCUCCAAAUCCAUCAACCAAUCCUCAAAAAAACCUGUAGAGUUUCACAAAUAGCGGAUCUAAGAACCUUGGAAAGUUGAAGUUUCUUUUUCUUGGUAAAAUCGGCCAUGUACGGUUGAAACCUGCAACGACGGAUAGCUCUUGACAAGAGCUAUAAAUUGAUGUAAGAAUUAAUCCGUUUCUCAACGGUUCGUAUUUUGGUCGAUUGAUUUUGACUGGUCAAGUUCUUUUGAGGAUUCUCCUUGCCGCCUCGUCUCCAGUCCAAUAGAUUGGGCAUGGUGUUGUUGAAGUGUAAGCAGUCUGUUUUGGUUUAAUUCUCGCCUCUACUUAGCAUUCUAUACUUGAACGGAAAAGGGUAGUUGAACAGGAUUAAAGUCAGUACAUCAUUGAAGGAUAUAGAGAAGUAAAAGGAAGAACAGGAGCUGAGAUUUGUUUAUUCGUGUAAAUGGCUGUAUUUGUAAUAAAUAAUUUCGAGCCAUAAGAUGAUUUAGAUCUGUUAAAUUCAAUUUCAAUUUGGUGCUGUAUCUAGAUUCAAUUUAUUGUAGUUAAACUUCAAUUCUUAAACCCAAUUCAUGAAGAGUGUUCAUUUUUA
Nicotiana attenuata is the source of this 723-nucleotide long non-coding RNA. RefSeq lists it as uncharacterized. Lineage: Eukaryota; Viridiplantae; Streptophyta; Magnoliopsida; Solanales; Solanaceae. The transcript is spliced from 2 exons. The record is from RefSeq and is a predicted model, not a curated record.